UUUCUUAAGAUAUAAUUUAAGAUAAAACCUGCUCCAUGUUAUUAAUUUAUACGUAUAAAUAGCCGCAGACAUCUGUGCUAAGGUAGCAUAAUCAUUAGCUUUCUAAUUAAAAGAUAGAAUGAACGGUUAAACGAAAUUUAAGCUAUUUCUUCAAUCUAUUAAACAAAUUAACAAAGUAGUUAAAAUCCUACUAACAUUAAGAAAGACGAUAAGACCCUAUAAACUUAAUUAUUUAGCUGGGGCGGCAAUAUAAAAACACCUUAAUUACAUUAAUUACACAAAGCAAAUAAAAUUAAACAAGAAAAAGUUACUAUAGGGAUAACAGCGCUACUUUUUUUCAAAGUUCAUAUAGAAAAAAUUUCUACGACCUCGAUGUUGAAUUAUUUUCCCAUAAUCAAAGCAAAAAUUUUAUUGGGUAGUCUGUUCGACUAUUAAACACUU
Molecule: ribosomal RNA, 441 nt
Filed under: Mesabolivar sp. Br14-26
Lineage: Eukaryota; Metazoa; Arthropoda; Arachnida; Araneae; Pholcidae
Description: partial 16S ribosomal RNA
Source: RNAcentral